AACGAACGCUGGCGGCGUGGCUAAAACAUGCAAGUCGAACGCGAAAGUUCCCUUCGGGGAGCGAUUAGAGUGGCGUAAGGGCGAGGAAUACAUGGAUAACGUACCCCGGGCACCGGGAUAGCUGUGGGAAACUGCAGGUAAUACCGGAUGAGACCACAGCACCUACGGGUGCAGCGGUCAAAAGGUGGGGAUUCCUUCGGGAACCUGUCGGCCUGGGAGCGGUCCAUGUCCUAUCAGCUUGUUGGUGAGGUAAAGGCUCACCAAGGCUACGACGGGUACCGGGACUGAGAGGUUGAUCCGGCGCAUUGGGACUGAGACACUGCCCAGACUCCUACGGGAGGCUGCAGUAACGAAUAUUGGACAAUGAGCGAAAGCUUGAUCCAGCGACGCCGCGUGUAGGACGAAGUCCCUCGGGAUGUAAACUACUGUCAGGGGUCACCAAGCAAUUGGGGUUAAUACCCCCAUGCGUUGAGGAGCCCCAGAGGAAGCCACGGCUAACUUCGUGCCAGCAGCCGCGGUAAGACGAAGGUGGCGAGCGUUGUUCGGAAUCACUGGGCUUAAAGCGCACGCAGGCGGGCUGUCAAGCGCCUUGUGAAAUCCCUCGGCUUAACCGAGGAAUUGCUGGGCGAACUGGCAGCCUUGAGGCAGGUAGGGGCAACUGGAACUCUUGGUGGAGCGGUGGAAUGCGUAGAUAUCAAGGGGAACGCCGGAGGCGAAGGCGAGUUGCUGGGCCUGUCCUGACGCUGAGGUUCGAAAGCGUGGGGAGCGAACGGGAUUAGAUACCCCGGUAGUCCACGCCCUAAACGAUGUGAACUAGUCGGAGGCACUCUGACGUGUUUUUGGCCGAAAUGAAAACGGUAAGUUCACCGCCUGGGGAGUACGGUCGCAAGGCUAAAACUCAAAGGAAUUGACGGGGGCUCACACAAGCGGUGGAGCAUGUUGCUUAAUUCGAUGCAACGCGAAGAACCUUAUCCUGGGUUUGACAUGCUUGGAUGCCUACCUGGAAACAGGCUUGGUUGCCCUUCGGGGUGAAACUUGCACAGGUGCUGCAUGGCUGUCGUCAGCUCGUGUCGUGAGAUGUUGGGUUAAGUCCCGUAACG
Molecule: ribosomal RNA, 1100 nt
Filed under: uncultured bacterium
Lineage: Bacteria
Description: bacterial SSU rRNA
Rfam family: Bacterial small subunit ribosomal RNA
Source: RNAcentral